GUACUGAUGAAGAGUCCCAAACUAGGACGAAACAGAUGUACAGUAC
RNAcentral lists this non-coding RNA (46 nucleotides) under Trichobilharzia regenti. The record is from RNAcentral. Lineage: Eukaryota; Metazoa; Platyhelminthes; Trematoda; Strigeidida; Schistosomatidae.